GAGCUCAUCGUUCAGUGGAUAGGACAGAUGCCUUCUAAGCAUCCAACGUGGGUUCGAUUCCCUCUGAGCUCG
RNAcentral lists this transfer RNA (72 nucleotides) under Hafniomonas laevis. RNAcentral describes it as "tRNA-Arg". It matches the Rfam family "tRNA". From Rfam's summary of the family: Transfer RNA (tRNA) molecules are approximately 80 nucleotides in length. The record is from RNAcentral. Lineage: Eukaryota; Viridiplantae; Chlorophyta; Chlorophyceae; Chlamydomonadales; Dunaliellaceae.